Molecule: long non-coding RNA, 881 nt
Organism: Tyto alba (common barn owl)
Lineage: Eukaryota; Metazoa; Chordata; Aves; Strigiformes; Tytonidae
Exons: 2
Source: RefSeq, a predicted model, not a curated record
GAAGGGGCGGAGGGACGGGCGCUGCGCACCGCAGCCGCGGGAGGGAGAGGAAGAAAAACCCUGGGAAGACCCGGGCGAGGGGGGUCUUUCACCCGCACCGGCACUGGCAGCGGUGAAGUAAGUUCAGACAACUCAGAAAGAGCAAGUCUCAUAGAUCCUCAUCGUUAGACGACACUCCUCAGAAAGGGGGGAUGACUGUUGGGGGGGUCCCUGCAUCCCGCUGCCGGCCCGCCGAGGACUGAUGGAGAGGACCCACGUGUACCUAGGCUCCCUCAGGACCUCCACCACCGACCAGUCUGCACCACCAGACCUGGAUGAUCAGCUUUUGCUGGGGGAAAGUCUCACCAGUUGUGUUGGUACAAUUGUCCUGGGGGGUCUCGCUCUGUAACCCACCCCUUAGGGACCCUCCGGGCAGCCCCUGGGCACACAGCAGUCCUGGGAGUGCCCGCCCCGCUCACCGACCAUGUAGAUGGAGCAGCAGCUGGAAGCACACAGGCAUUUGCCUGCUGGGCUUCAAAAUCCAGCCCAUUUCCACCUCCUGCGAUGCCCCAGCAUGAGGAGGAGCGGGUUGGAUCUGCAGCCCCGCCACCCCAGGGGUCUGCUCCCCCCAGGAAAGGGCUGGGUCAGGUGGGAGGCAUCCCCUUAACUUGGAUCUCCUUCAAAUUUCUCAUAAGGGUGUUUUAGCCACUGUGAACUAAGACAACUUCACUUCUGAAUGAGAGUGCCCACGGGUGUAAUACGCUUUAAUUAAUAUGCUUUAGCUUCCCUGUUUUAGAUCAUUAACCCUCCUUUGAUUGAGUGCCCCCUUGCCAUCCCAAUGUUUCAUCUCCUUUCUCUUGGGGAUCUUAUACAAAGAAUAAAAGGAUGCUGGUUGUUUUACA